GUCCACGCUGUAAACGAUGGAUGCUAGCCGUCGGCAAGCUUGCUUGUCGGUGGCGCAGCUAACGCAUUAAGCAUCCCGCCUGGGGAGUACGGCCGCAAGGUUAAAACUCAAAGGAAUUGACGGGGGCCCCGCACAAGCGGUGGAGCAUGUGGUUUAAUUCGACGCAACGCGAAGAACCUUACCAGCUCUUGACAUGUCCGGACGGUUUCCAGAGAUGGACUCCUCCCAGCAAUGGGCCGGAACACAGGUGCUGCAUGGCUGUCGU
This 265-nucleotide ribosomal RNA is filed under the name uncultured bacterium. RNAcentral describes it as "partial 16S ribosomal RNA". It matches the Rfam family "Bacterial small subunit ribosomal RNA", at positions 793 to 1055 of the family's 1533-position model. The record is from RNAcentral.